Molecule: unclassified non-coding RNA, 205 nt
Filed under: fungal sp.
Lineage: Eukaryota; Fungi
Description: partial internal transcribed spacer region
Rfam family: Eukaryotic small subunit ribosomal RNA (bases 1-46)
Source: RNAcentral
AAGUCGUAACAAGGUAACCGUAGGUGAACCUGCGGUUGGAUCAUUAACAAAAUCCAAUAAAAGAGCUAGGGGUAACAGCCUAGCUUUUUUAAACCACUGUGAAUUGUUCAAUGUUGGUGCAAACCAGCAGUAUUUUACACAAGUCGUCUAUAAAAGUUUAUUUUAAAUUAAAAAACAACUUUUGGCAACGGAUCUCUAGGCUCUU